Molecule: unclassified non-coding RNA, 338 nt
Filed under: soil metagenome
Description: partial contains 5.8S ribosomal RNA, internal transcribed spacer 2, and large subunit ribosomal RNA
Rfam family: 5.8S ribosomal RNA (bases 1-120)
Source: RNAcentral
GAUGAAGAACGCAGCGAAAUGCGAUAAGUAAUGUGAAUUGCAGAAUUCAGUGAAUCAUCGAAUCUUUGAACGCACAUUGCGCCCGGCAGUACUCUGCCGGGCAUGCCUGAUCGAGCGUCAUUUCAACCCUCAAGCCCUGCUUGGUGUUGGGGCCCCACGGCUGCCGUGGGCCCUGAAAGGAAGUGGCGGGCUCGCUACAACUCCGAGCGUAGUAAUUCAUUAUCUCGCUUAGGGCGUUGGGCGGCGCUCCAGCCGUUAAAGAACCAUCUUUAACUCAAGGUUGACCUCGGAUCAGGUAGGAAUACCCGCUGAACUUAAGCAUAUCAAUAAGCGGAGGA